Molecule: small nuclear RNA, 102 nt
Organism: Ahaetulla prasina
Lineage: Eukaryota; Metazoa; Chordata; Lepidosauria; Squamata; Colubridae
Source: RefSeq, a predicted model, not a curated record
AUGCUUGCUUCUGCAGCAUAUAUACUAAAAUUGGAACAAUACAGGUUAGCAUGGUCCCUAUGCAAGGGCGACAUGGAUGCAAUUGGAUUAGUAGAAAUUAAU